AUUGAACGCUGGCGGCAGGCUUAACACAUGCAAGUCGAACGAGUGGCGGACGGGUGAGUAAUGCUUGGGAAUCUACCUUAUGGAGGGGGAUAACUACGGGAAACUGUAGCUAAUACCGCAUACCAUAGGAUGAGCCCAAGUGGGAUUAGGUAGUAGGUGGGGUAAAGGCUCACCAAGCCGACGAUCCCUAGCUGGUCUGAGAGGAUGACCAGCCACACUGGGACUGAGACACGGCCCAGACUCCUACGGGAGGCAGCAGUGGGGAAUAUUGCGCAAUGGGGGCAAGCUGAUGCAGCCAUGCCGCGUGAAUGAAGAAGGCCUUCGGGUUGUAAAGUUCUUUCGGUAGCGAGGCGUUACCAGCAGAAGAAGCACCGGCUAACUUCGUGCCAGCAGCCGCGGUAAUAC
RNAcentral lists this ribosomal RNA (405 nucleotides) under uncultured bacterium. RNAcentral's name for it is "partial 16S ribosomal RNA". It matches the Rfam family "Bacterial small subunit ribosomal RNA", at positions 30 to 526 of the family's 1533-position model. The record is from RNAcentral.